RNAcentral lists this long non-coding RNA (700 nucleotides) under Populus trichocarpa (black cottonwood). RNAcentral's name for it is "long non-coding RNA (PTRI_LNC004237)". Lineage: Eukaryota; Viridiplantae; Streptophyta; Magnoliopsida; Malpighiales; Salicaceae. The record is from RNAcentral.
UUUUUUCCAGCCGACACCAGGGCCCGCCCCAGGGAGGAACCCCUAUUUCUUGUCAUCUCCAGCUACACACCAGGGAUUUUUUUUGAGGGGAUUGGCUUCUUCCUCACAGCAGUGGGCAGAGACCCACGGUCUCCGGUCCCUUUUCCUUCCCACUGAUUUCAGCCAUCUUCAGCUCCUUCUCCCCUGCACCCACAACGCUGAUCUUCCCCUAUUUCCUAUCAUUUUCAGCUGACAGCACCCACCUUUGGUUUUUUUAUCUUCUCCUCACAGCUCCUUCCCCACAAACCGGCUCCAGCCCCCCUCCAGAAUUAUUUUUCUCUUCUCCCUCAACCAGGACAGCCGGCUGGUUCCACCAUUUCCUGCCCCUCUUCACAGCUUCCUCAGCCCUUGCACACCCACACUCCCCUCUCUUUCAGACCAAACAAGCCCCACCACAUCGUCAGUUUCCCAGCCGACCAAGCCUUCCCUCAACAAAGGAGAAGCAGACCAUACCACAUCGCCUCAGCCCUUGCCCAACCGCCGUUCACUAUCCUCCCUCUCAGCUGCUCCCCACGAGUUCGCCUCUCUCCCAGUCGACUCCUUUCUCAGCCCUCAACAGCGACGGCCACCGACCACCAGGAGUCGCCCCUGUCACCAUCGCCAUUCCUUCCAGCCCGCACGCGAAGAAGCUUCGUUCAUCAGCGCAGAUCGGCCUCCAACA